UAUCUCUGUAGAGUCUGCAUAUCAAUAAGCGGAGGAAAAGAAACUAACAAGGAUUCCCUUAGUAACGGCGAGUGAAGCGGGAAGAGCUCAAAUUUGAAAUCUUCAAGGUUUUACCUUGACGAAUUGUAGUUUAAAGAAGUGUUUUCUGUUAGAUGAGUAGCUAAAAGUUCCUUGGAAUAGGACAUCAUAGAGGGUGAGAAUCCCGUAUUUGACCGUUAUUUUCAGCUGUGUGAUACACUUUCAAAGAGUCGGAUUGUUUGGGAAUGCAGUCCAAAAUGGGUGGUAAAUUUCAUCUAAAGCUAAAUAUUGGCGAGAGACCGAUAGCGAACAAGUACCGUGAGGGAAAGAUGAAAAGAACUUUGAAAAGAGAGUUAAACAGUACGUGAAAUUGUCAAAAGGGAAGCGUUUGACACCAGUGUUGUUUUCUCGAAAAUCAAUUAAAAAUGGCUUGAUUUUGUGUUGUAUUGACCUUAAAAGCUUUCUUCACUUUUUUCAUGUCUUUUUUAAUGCACUUUUCGUUUAACAAGUCAACAUCAGUUUCUUUUGUUGUAAAAAGGUCACUGGAAGGUGGCUUUCUUUUCGGAGAAAGUGUUUAUAGCCUUUGACUUCUGCAAUCGGAGAGACUGAGGUCUGCAGCGUAGAUCCUUCUGGAUUAGAUUCAUUUGUGCUAAGUUACAACCGUUUAUAGACAACUUGUUGACUAUAUUCGAUCCUGUUAGCUUACUCGCUUAUGUAAUUUUACCUACGCUUAGGAUGUUGAAGAUGUAGCACAUCAU
This 776-nucleotide ribosomal RNA is filed under the name uncultured Neocallimastigales. RNAcentral describes it as "partial large subunit ribosomal RNA". It matches the Rfam family "Eukaryotic large subunit ribosomal RNA", at positions 24 to 635 of the family's 3401-position model. The record is from RNAcentral. Lineage: Eukaryota; Fungi; Neocallimastigomycota; Neocallimastigomycetes; Neocallimastigales.